GUUUUAUACAUUGCAUUGUACCGGAGAGAAGGUAUACAUUUAAAUAGGUUUUGCAGUCAGAAAGAGAAGGUGAAUACUGGGACAUAUCUGUAUAACAUGGAAUCCUAUAUAUCAGAGGAUAAAACAUUUUUGGGUCAUCCAGCACAUCUGUGAGAUUAAGAUAAACAUUUCAGUUUAAAUUAAUAAUAGCACCUUCUUGGGUGGUAGUCAGAAGCAGUUAAACAUUUCAACCAAACUUUUAAUUAGCAGAAAGUGAAGAGUUCUUUACCUUGAAUUUGACCAGAAACAUGAAUGACUGACACAGAACAGCAGAUAAGCUGUUGGAGGGAACCUCUGAACACCAUCUGGUCCAGCCUCCUACUUUAUGUGUGCCAACAACCGAUCAGGUCGGCAGUGGCUUUUCCUGGUCAUGUCAUGACCUCCAACGAUGGAAAUUUCACUGCAUCCAACUAAUAGGUUUCCAUGUUGUACCGAAUUCCUAGUAAAACAUUUUUCCUAAUAUCCAGGGUGAAUCUGCCAGGUCUUCAUUUGCAGCUGUUGCCCUGGGCUAUACUGUUUUACACAGCUGUGCAUCUCUGUUCUUUAUGAGCACCUCCCCAUUAGCACCUGUAGAUGGUAUGAGACUGCCCCUCAGCCCCUUUUUUGCUGGGCUACACCAGCCCAAUGCCCUCCCUCUCCCCAUGUGCUGCUAUCUGUAGCUCUCUGAUGGAUCCAUGCUAGUUUUUCAGCAGCCAUUUUGAAGUGGGAGGCCUCAAAAAUGGACGUAGAAAUCCAUGACAGCCUCACCAGCACCAAGAAGUUUUCAGCUCCUCGUGCUUCUGAGGAAGGUGAAGGACGAGAGGUGCCUCCUGGCGAGAAUCCUGCUGCCUCCUGGGGUAAUGGUGUGCUGGCUGCUCCCCCCACAUGACAUCCUUACAGGGCCAUGUCUCGUGCUGGUAUCUCUUUCUAUAGGGACUCAUUUGUGUUGCCUACAUCGCGUGCUGGAUUUAGAAGCCCUCCAGUGUUACCAUGGCAACAGUUUCUGCUUAAGUAUAGCUUAAGAGUGAGCAACUUCAGAAGAAGUGAAGGGCGGUUUGUGCAGACCCAUUUGUGACACUGAUGACAAUUGCACUGAGAGAGAAGCUAUAUCUUAGGUGACCUUACAGAAGCAGUGGGAACUGAGUGAUGUGUUCAGAAAUUUGAGUAACAAAAGGAUGCUAUUCAGAUUUUUGUAAUAAACAGUUGCUUGGUAACCA
This 1235-nucleotide long non-coding RNA is filed under the name Phasianus colchicus (ring-necked pheasant). Its description in RNAcentral is "lncRNA (ENSPCLG00000004440.1)". The record is from RNAcentral. Lineage: Eukaryota; Metazoa; Chordata; Aves; Galliformes; Phasianidae.